CCACACGCUCACAGGAAGUCACGCCCACACACUCACACACACGCUCACAGGGCAGUCACGCCCACACGCUCACACACACGCUCACAGGAAGUCACACCCACACGCUCACAGGAAGUCACGCCCACACGCUCACACACACGCUCACAGGGAGUCACGCCCACACGCUCACACACACGCUCACAGGGAGUCACGCCCACACACUCACAGGAAGUCACGCCCACACGCUCACACACACGCUCACAGGGAGUCACGCCCACACGCUCACACACGCUCACAGGGAGUCACGCCCACACGCUCACACACGCUCACAGGGCAGUCACGCCCACACGCUCACACACACGCUCACAGGAAGUCACGCCCACACACUCACAGGAAGUCACGCCCACACACUCACACACACGCUCACAGGGAGUCACGCCCACACGCUCACACACACGCUCACAGGAAGUCACGCCCACACGCUCACGGGGUAGUCAUGCACACACGCUCACACACACACUCACGGGGUAGUCACGCACACACGCUCACGGGGUAGUCAUGCACACACGCUCACACACACACUCAUGGGGUAGUCACGCACACACGCUCACACACUCAGACACAGGCUCAGAUGUGAUCACAAGGGCACCCUGGCAGCCCACCCACAUGCUCACAUGUAACCACACGGGUCCGUGCACACUCAUGCUACACCCCUGGUGCUCUGCCCACCAGUGGUGCCCUCUGCCUGAGUCCCCCUUGCCCAUCUUUGCAGGCCAUGUGCUAGAGGUCACCGCCACCCUCCCCAGGCCCUGCCAUGCUGCAGGGUAGUCAUCAAUCGAUGGCGUCCAAAGGGCAGGGCUGCUUGUUUGAGAUCAGAACUCAGUUUCAAACAGCUGACCGCUCUGUCCCUCUCGAGGCAGGGGCACCAUAUGCAAACAUCUGCCUCAGCAAGGC
Molecule: long non-coding RNA, 933 nt
Filed under: Marmota monax (woodchuck)
Lineage: Eukaryota; Metazoa; Chordata; Mammalia; Rodentia; Sciuridae
Source: RNAcentral